GUCCAGGGAUGGGAAUCGAACCCACAGGGUUCCGCUUACCGGGCAGAUGCCAUUUCCACUAGCUACCCUGGA
RNAcentral lists this transfer RNA (72 nucleotides) under Cordylochernes scorpioides. RNAcentral describes it as "tRNA-Thr". The record is from RNAcentral. Lineage: Eukaryota; Metazoa; Arthropoda; Arachnida; Pseudoscorpiones; Chernetidae.